AUUGAACGCUGGCGGCAUGCCUUACACAUGCAAGUCGAACGGUAACGGGCCUUCGGGUGCCGACGAGUGGCGAACGGGUGAGUAAUACAUCGGAACGUGCCCGAUCGUGGGGGAUAACGAGGCGAAAGCUUUGCUAAUACCGCAUACGAUCUACGGAUGAAAGCAGGGGACCGCAAGGCCUUGCGCGGACGGAGCGGCCGAUGGCAGAUUAGGUAGUUGGUGGGAUAAAAGCUUACCAAGCCGACGAUCUGUAGCUGGUCUGAGAGGAUGAUCAGCCACACUGGGACUGAGACACGGCCCAGACUCCUACGGGAGGCAGCAGUGGGGAAUUUGGGACAAUGGGCGCAAGCCUGAUCCAGCCAUGCCGCGUGCAGGAUGAAGGCCUUCGGGUUGUAAACUGCUUUUGUACGGAACGAAAAGCCUUCUUUUAAUACAGGAGGGUCAUGACGGUACCGUAAGAAUAAGCACCGGCUAACUACGU
This 481-nucleotide ribosomal RNA is filed under the name uncultured bacterium. RNAcentral describes it as "partial 16S ribosomal RNA". It matches the Rfam family "Bacterial small subunit ribosomal RNA", at positions 30 to 506 of the family's 1533-position model. The record is from RNAcentral.